ACAGUGGUAGUUCGGUGGUAGAAUUCUCACCUUCCAUGCAGGAGACCUGGGUUUGACUCUCGGCCACUGCU
RNAcentral lists this transfer RNA (71 nucleotides) under Loxodonta africana (African savanna elephant). It matches the Rfam family "tRNA". Rfam says of the family: Transfer RNA (tRNA) molecules are approximately 80 nucleotides in length. Their secondary structure includes four short double-helical elements and three loops (D, anti-codon, and T loops). Lineage: Eukaryota; Metazoa; Chordata; Mammalia; Proboscidea; Elephantidae. The record is from Rfam by way of RNAcentral.